CAGGUCAAGCUUUCUUUCUUUUCCUUUUGUUUUGUUUUUUGUUUUUUGCAGAAUAUGCAGGUCAAGCUGUACUAUAAGUUGGGAAAAGAAAAAAAAAGUAGUUUAAUAUUAUUUAAAUACAUUUUUCUUUCAUGCAAGCGAUAGUAUAAAGUACUCUAAAUUGAUCUAUUCUACGAAAAAAAAAGGGAUUCAAACUUGUGUGUAAGGGGCGAACUCACUGCCUUGGCCAACUUAUCUAACCUUAGUGUUACAUUUUCUAAUCACAUUAGUCGAUCACACAAAUGAUUGAGUAGUUAAUAUGUAUAGAAAAGUUGAUAUAGAUCCAAAUUUCUAUUGAGGAGUUGGGUUUAAUCCUCAGAUUUGGUGACUUUGAUCUAAGUCCUUUGACUUUUGUGCCACAUAGGAUUACAUUCCUUUUUAAAUAUUUUCUGAUGUAAUACUUUUUUCUUAUUUAUUUUUAAAAUUAUUUUUGUUCUAAUGUUGCCCCUUAUAACUUGAAUCGGGUAAUAGUCAUUUAUGUCAUUAUAAUUAGUUGUUUACAACAUUUGGCAUUGAGUAGAAAAGGAAAAUAUAGCAAACAUAUCCCAAAAAUCACAUUUUUACCUACAAUCAUACUCCUUCGAACUCUAAAUGUUUUGACAAAGGAAAAAAUGCAUUUGUUUACAAUGUCCUAUUGCAUAGGUAUAUAUGUGUUUUUUUUUCUUCAUAUUUUCGACAAUGUGUAAUUUUUAUAGGUAACAUAAAAUUUUAUUUGUCUAUUUUUGUAUCUGACUUAUAAGUAGUAUUCUAAUUUAUGUUCCUAAUUUAUAGGUAGUCUUGUAAUUUAUGUUCCUAACUUAUAGGUAACACGAUUUAUCAAGGAUAUAAUUCAAAAUUUAAAUUCUGAAAUGCAAUUACAAGGAAAUAAUGCAUUUAAUUUAUAUUUUUAAUGUGUUUUCCUUAUUUACAUCAAAUGGUAAAAUCAACAUAAAAAAAGAAGUAAUAAAUGUCAAAGGACCUACGUCUAAAACAAAAAACGAGUGGACUAAACCCAAUAACAGUUAAUCGUUUUGAACAUACAUCUAAGAAGCCCUAAUAUGUAUCUAUUACAUCAAUUAAAUUGACCAAGCUAUUACCAAGUUAUGUCUGUAGAAAUGUCGUAGCAUUACUUAUGUUGUUUCUGAACUCAUUCAAUCUAUCAUGCCCCAGUUUUGUUCUUCAUUUUAUUUUCUAUAGAAAGUCUUGACAAAAAUUAUGUUGCUGAUAUUAACAAUUCAGAUUGACCCAAUUAAGUACAAGAGCGUCACAUCCGGAUUUGGAGUUCUGUUGAAGGAGCAGGGCAUCAGAGGUUUGUUCAAGGGCUGGGCGCCCACCUUGAUCGGCUACAGCGCCCAGGGUGCUGGAAAGUAUGGCCUCUAUGAGUUUUUCAAGAAGUACUACACAGACAUUGCAGGGCCAGAGUAUGCAGCCAAGUACAAGACCUUGAUCUACCUUGCAGGCUCUGCAUCAGCUGAAGUCAUUGCUGAUGUUGCCCUCUGUCCCAUGGAAGCUGUCAAAGUUCGUGUCCAAACUCAGCCCGGCUUUGCCAGAGGCUUGGCUGAUGGGCUUCCAAAGAUCAUCAAAUCCGAAGGCGCUCUCGGGUUUGAAUCCGAAUCCUUUCAUAUUCUUUUGGUUCUUGUGUUUGAAGAACUUUGGUUUGAUGAUUACUUUCACUGUGUUGCAGGUUGUACAAGGGGCUUGUUCCUCUUUGGGGACGUCAGGUUCCUUGUAAGUUUGAAAGGUUUCCCUCAUCUCCUUUGGAUAUCUUGAUGCACUGAAAUCAAAUUUUAACAUUUUGGGAUUUGAUUUCUGCAGAUACUAUGAUGAAAUUUGCGGCGUUCGAGAAUACAAUCGAGCUGAUGUACAAGCAUGUCAUCCCAACACCUAAAGAGCAAUGCAGCAAACCUUUGCAGCUGGGGGUGAGCUUUGCCAGUGGAUAUAUUGCUGGUGUAUUCUGUGCUGUUGUCUCACACCCAGCUGACAACUUGGUCUCUUUCCUCAACAAUGCCAAGGGAGCAACUGUUGGUGAUGUGAGUUUUUAUAUAUAUGCAUGCAGAACAUAAACCCUUUUUUGUUCUUUCUUUCUUUCUCUAUGCUCAGUUUUUUGUUUUCAUUGCCGAUGUCUUGCAGGCUGUGAAGAAGCUAGGGUUAUUAGGUCUUUUCACUCGUGGUCUUCCUCUUCGAAUAUUCAUGAUUGGAACCCUCAGUGCAGGCCAAUGGGCUCUCUAUGACACUUUCAAAGUUUUGGUUGGGCUGUAAGUCUAUGCUCCCUUCAUUUUCCUUGUGAUUUUCCAUAUCCUAUGCUUGGAAGCUUCAUACUUAUCCAUGUUCUGCAAACUGUUCUGUUUUCCCAGGCCAACUACCGGUGGUCCUGCUCCCGCCGCCACCGAGCUUGCCAAGGCUUGAAAUUGAAGCUGAUGGUUCGUAUAUUAUACCGUACAAAUUUUGUUUGUAAACUUUUUCUUCAUGCCAUUUUCUGCCCGGUUUCAUUGAAAGGGCGAUGUUUGGGGUAAAGUUCCCCACGGAGGAAUAUGCAACAUAAAAAUAAAAAAUUCCAACUGCUUGUAUCUUUUUUUGAUCAAAUAGAAAAUUUCAUUCAUCACUAACACCAGACAAACGAUAAAAGUUUACAAACGAACGGAGGGCGUUAGUGUGGCCUCAUUGAAACCUUGCCAUCAAAAACUCCCAAUGGAGGAAAAUCCGGUCAAGAAAAAAGAGUACCACCGCACCUCAAAAAUGCAAACAAAGAUCUACGCCAUAGUUCUAUCCUUAUCUAAGAGAAUGCUUAGCCAAGGAGGAACACUGUCUGUCCAGAAAUGUCGAGACCUCGCUCUCAAUCCAUGCUGGGCUAGGCUAUGUGCCACCCCAUUGCCUUUCCGAUGUUGAUAGAACAAUCCAGCCACCUCUCGAUCAACCAUUAACCGACGAACAUCCUCCACCACAUUACCAAUAUUACUCCACCAAUCCAACCCAUUUUUGAGAAUAGAAACAGCUUCUUGAGAGUCAAGACCAAUGGUAAACCAAGUAAAACCCAUGUAUCCCAUCAUCAAUAAACCUUCCCGGACAGCCGCCAACUCAAUGCCCAAAACAUCCAGACCAGGUGGACCAAAAGAAGCAAACCCACAGACAAAGUUUCCGUCAUGAUCACGACAGCAGCCCCCCAGACCCCUACCACUUUGCCCACGACCCACAGUCCCAUCACAGUUAAAAGUAUUUACCCGUGGUUUCAACCAAUGGACCUGUUGAGGUACAAAGGGGAGCUUGGACCGCUCCUCACAAGAUUUGAACACUGCCAGCAUUUCCAUCGUGUUUUCCACCAUGUUAUCCAACCGUGUAAUCUGUUUCCCAUGCAAAGAGUCAUUACGUAGCUUCCACGCACUCCACACACAACAAGCAAAGCGCUCUAAGUCAGCUUUCGACAUCAUUGAAGCCACAGCCUCAAAAACAUCAGCAAAAGUGCCAACAGCCAUAGUAAUUCGCCGGAUAAAAUAGGUACACUUCAAAAAAUUUGACUCAUUUUACAAGACCACAGAGCGUGGUAGGCAUAUUCAGGAUAUUUCCCACACCUUGAGCACACAUGAGAUGUAAGCACCCUUCUCUUAAAUAAAUUGACUGCAGUUGGUAGAAUUUCAGAACUUGCCCUCCAAAUUAGCAUUUUAAUUUUGUUGGGGACUGCAAGCUUCCAAAUUCGCAUCCAAAAACCUUCCUGAGCACUCAAAUCCGAUCCCCCCACUCCAAAAUCUUCAUCACACUGCCUUACCGCGACACGAUACCCAGUAUUAACGGUAUAUUUCCCGUUCUUUGAGAAAAACCAAUAUUUGCUAUCCCCCUGCUGUGAGACUGAUCCCAAGGCGAUGCUAGAAAUAAUAUCUUGAUCUUCCAAGCUAAAAUGUUGCUCUAACAAAGGUAAAUCCCAUGAACCAGAAGCAGUUAGAAGGUCAGAGACUGUAGUAUUCCAAUCCAGCCCUCUAGCCAACAACGGCUUGAAAGUAAAUGGUUUUGGAAUCCACCUAUCUUGGAAAAUACGGAUAGAAGCUCCAUUGCCCACCCUCCAAAUCAGACCAUCCUCAAUAACCACACGACCCCACAAAAUAGAUUUCCAUAUCAUUGAAGGUCAAGCAUAUGAAUACAAUAAAAUUAUAAAACAUCCUGUUAUUAUAUCAGAAAGAACCUUUCCAAAGGCUUUGCACUCGUAGGCAACCACGUUCUAGGGUAAGGUGUGGGCAAAAAAGGGGAAAAAAAAAAAACAAUUCCCAUGAUUUACUGUUAUAAAUUUUUUUAAAUUGUUCUCACAAACAAGUAUUCAUGUUUCAAAAUUGUCACGAUUUAGAAUAAGCGGAUAUAUGGUAUCAAACACAACUCUUGCAAAAAUAUGCCGAACUUCCGGCAGGUUUCCCACAGCCAAUGACUCAUAAUCAAUCUUGCUGCCUUGCUUUGGCACAAAUCCCCUCUCUGCACCAGACGUUACGCAACUAAAAACCCUGCUGACCCUCAGAGAUAACCCCCAUGGGAUAAAUACCUGGAAGUUGAGAUCAAACCCAAUAACCCUUUAGAGUUUCUCAAUAAAUGAGAUGAAUGCAGACAACACACACACAAACAGCAAACAAAAACAAUAAAAUCUUGUCAUGAGGACAAGAAAUGUUUAAAUGAAGGAAGGUGCUCACCAGAUCAGAAUAUGGUGCUUGUGGGUACCCUGCCAUCGCCACAGAGACUAUUUGCUCAUCAGUCAUAUGGUUUAGCGCACGCUUAAGAGAUGUUGCAAGAUUCACAACCUCAUCUUUCAAUGCUCGAGGGUUCAAAUCCUGAGUUUCUGAUAAUUCAUUAAAGCAAACAUCGUGUAGUUUAGUGAUUCUCCUAGCAAUGUUUACUGCUUCUAGCAUAUCUCCACCAUUGUGAAUUGCAAGGCUAAAUGCAGCAACCACCAAUGGAUCCCUAGGUUGUUCGGACAGUGCUUUGUGGAAUGCUAAGAUCGCAACCCUGGAAGUGUAAACCUGUGAUGAGUCUCAGUUGGUCCAACUCGUAAUGAGCUUGUAAGUACACAUCAUAGAAUCUCCAAUACAUAAAAGAAUCAUGCAACUUAAUUUGCUUAGAUUACUCAGACCAAUAAAAAGAAAAAGGAGCAAACAAACUGCGAAGAAAUAUGAUGCAAGGGCAAGAGUACUCCAGUACAACCUGGAGGAAUUCAAAACAAGGAACAACUUGUAAGUAUGCAGAAUAAGGCUGCAUACAUCUAACCCUCCCCAAACCUCCCAAUGGCAGGAGUCUCAUACACCAAGCCAAAGAAAUACUGUUCUAUAACAUGAGAAUCCAAGAAAAACUGAUACAAUGCAAGUAUGACCAAUUAAACCAUUUCAAUCUUCUAUCUUUUCAGUCGCCUGUUAUUAAUGGCAUAAAGAAAACACAUGAGCAUUCUGUUAUCAUAAACAUCUUACCAUAAGCUACUGUGGCAUGGCUUGUCAGGUGAAAGAAGUUUAUCCAAGUUAGAAAGAAGGGACUGCAUGUGGAAAGCCAGAGAAUUAAAUGCACUUUUAGGUCAAACCCUCUUCACGAUAUAAUCAAGCACUGAAUAAGCAUAUAACAAGUGUGUAAUGAUAAUUACCAAAAGCAUAUUAGUCCUUUUGUCACGUCUUCGAAAACCAUGGCUAACAAAAUAUGCUGCCUGCAAUAUGAAACUGUAUUGAAACUUAUUGUAUUGUGCGGACAAGUAGCAAAUUUAUUCAAUAUUAAAUCCAUACCUGAAUAGGUAGAAGUAGUUCUAGAAGUCCAAAUUUCCAUAAUAACCUCAAAGAAGCUUCAGCAGAACCAUAAGCUAGCAUGUAGUUCAUUUCCAUGAGGAGCCUUCCCUAAAGUAUGAAGUAAUGACUAAGUAAUUCAGGAACUCAAGAAUACUAAGUGCAAGGAAAAUGAUAAGGUCCAAGAUCUCUUAAAUUACCUUAUCAAGCCUAAGAAUUGAGUAAGAUAAAUUUUUAACAGAAUGAGCUGUUUCCUUGGAAAUACGAAAGCCUAAACGGGCAGCAAUUCUUAUUGCACGUAGGAUGCGAGCUGCACAUACGCAGAAUCUGAUUUAGUUUCUCCACAAACAUGAGAAAGAUUUUGUCAAGUGUGCAUGGGUUGGGUGUGUUCUUAGAACACACCCCCCACGGGAGAUAACAACUACUUAGCAACGCUUAUGUCAAGUUAAUUAUAAUUAAGCAGCUGCUUUCUUCUCAACGAGCUUCUCUAUCAAAUCAGCUGCUUCUUGGACCGUGCUUAUGUUCUGAGAGCUCUCCUCUUCAACGCUUAUGUCAAAUUCUUCCUCCAAACCUAUCACUAUCUCCACCUGCAACAGAUCAUCCAGUCUUAUUUUUAUCCACCAAUAAAUUAUAUAUAUUUAAUUUAAAAACCAUAUGCAUAAAUAGAAUUUGAUAAUCAAUUGGAGUAGAAAAUAAUGGCAGCAGGGCAUACUGUGUCAAGAGAGUCGGCACCAAGGGAUGCAAACUUGGAGUCAGGGGUGACCUCAUACUCUGGAGGCAAAGCCAGUUGCUUCCUCACAAUCUCCACAACCUUUUGCACUGUCUCAGGUUUGGCCUGUCCACUUUUCAAUUUUCAUUAUGUGGUUUUCAAUAUAUAACUUGUUAAGCGUGAAAUAUAUCGCCGUGUAUCAGAUGCACACAAUAAUUUUUCUCGAGUUGAAGAACUUACCGCGCAACAGAUUUGGAGACGAGAGGUCCUCAGAGAAGAGAAACCAGUCUUAGCCCAUUCAUUAGAAACCAAUUGUAAACUUAAACUUGUUCUUGUUACCUACAUUAUUAGUUCAUAAGCAUCAAAAGCAGAUAUUGGCUCAUAUUUAUACUUUCAGUUUAAUCACAUUUACUUAUUGAUCUGAAAAACCUUCAAUUGGGCAAUAAUUCAAUAAUAAAAAAUUUUGAAAAAAAAACAAAUGAUGGUAACAUUCAAUCCAUAGAUAAGGCAAACCCAAAAUUUAGAAGACAACCCAAAUGAAUAAAAAAAUGGAAGAAAAAGACAGAGACAUUAGGUUAAAUGCUAAUACCAGGCCAGAAGUCUUGGUUGGCUGGUUUUGAAAGGGCUGGAACCUGCAAAGAGAAGUAGCUGAAACAGAAGCCAUUGAAGCUGCUCAAGAAACCAAACCGCAAAAACUUUGUUACUCAAAACAAACAGAGAGACAUGGUGAGGGUGAUGUAAAGUUGUGCCCUAUUGGAACAGAGCUGCCGUAUCUUCUACUUACGUGGCAGACAUUGGAAAUUAUGGGUGGGCCCUUGGAAUUCAGGUACAAGUUGCCAGAUGGGACAAAUUAACAACUAGACCAUCCAUCCAUGUAGUUUGUCUGUUUUCGCAAUUAGUUUUAAUUUUGUUAAUUUUGUCAUUGUAAUUUUAAAUCUCCUGCAAAUUCAAAGACACGUUUAAAUUAUGUCAAAUUUUUUUUAAUUUCGUUCAAAAUACCCUUUAAUAUCAUCGACACAUACUUAUUAUGUCACAUAAUAAAACAGAAAUUUAAACAUACUUUUGAACUAUAGGAGUUAAAUUGUCAGAAUAAAAACCGCAUAAACAAAAGUGAAAAAUCAGACAAACCACAAGAGCCGAAGAUGAUUUUUUGCCUUCAUAAUUAUUAGAGUACUGGGAGGAAGAAACGAAACUGGUUACGUCCCUGCUUACCGACAAGGCUUUUGAUUCAAAAGUUUUGAAUGAUUGGUCAACGCCGUGAAUUAACUAUCUGAAAUAAAGCUUCAAUAUAAAUUGCGCGCCACGCGGAUAUUUUUCGAGGUGUGCUUCCACCAAAAGGCAGAGCCUUCCAAAAUUGCAGAGAGAGACUUCAAUCAAUCAAUAAUGGCAGAUCCACUCAACAACACAAACUCUCGCCACUCUCUCCUCCCAAGCUUCCUCUACUCUUCAUCUUCUUCAAUGGUGGCAUCAGGUUAUGCAUCAUCAGCACCGUCAUCAAGGGUGGUGAUUGCAGCGCCUAGAGAGAAGGUGGAGAUGUACUCUGCUGAGUUCUAUGCGGCGUGUGGAGUUGCAGGUAUGCUGGCCACUGGCCUAACCCAUUUGGCCGUCACUCCUAUCGAUGUCGUCAAGUGUAAUAUGCAGGUCAAGCUUUCUUUCUUUUCCUUUUGUUUUUGUUUUUUUUCAAAAUAUGCAGGUCAAGCUGUCCUAUAAGUUGGGUAAAAAAAAAGUAGUUUAAUAUUUUUUAAAUACAUUUUUUUUUCAUACAAGCGAUAGUAUAAACUACUCUAAAUUGAUCUAAUCUACGAAAAAAGGGGAUUCAAACUUGUGUGUAAUGGGCGAACUCAACGCCUUGGCCAACUUAUCUAACCUUAGUGUUACAUUUUGUGAUCACAUUAGUCGAUCACACAAAUGAUUUGAGUAGUUAAUAUGUAUCUAUUACAUCAAUUAGCAUGACCAACUAUUACCAAGUUAUGUCUGUAGAAAUGUCGUAGCAUUACUUAUGUUGUUUCUGAACUCAUUCAAUCUAUCAUGCCCCAAUUUUGUUCUUCAUUUUAUUUUCUAUAGAAAGUCUUAACAAAAAUUAUGUUGCUGAUAUUAACAAUUCAGAUUGACCCAAUUAAGUACAAGAGCGUCACAUCCGGAUUUGGAGUUCUGUUGAAGGAGCAGGGCAUCAGAGGUUUGUUCAAGGGCUGGGCGCCCACCUUGAUCGGCUACAGCGCCCAGGGUGCUGGAAAGUUUGGCCUCUAUGAGUUUUUCAAGAAGUACUACACAGACAUUGCAGGGCCAGAGUAUGCAGCCAAGUACAAGACCUUGAUCUACCUUGCAGGCUCUGCAUCAGCUGAAGUCAUUGCUGAUGUUGCCCUCUGUCCCAUGGAAGCUGUCAAAGUUCGUGUCCAAACUCAGCCCGGCUUUGCCAGAGGCUUGGCUGAUGGGCUUCCAAAGAUCAUCAAAUCCGAAGGCGCUCUCGGGUUUGAAUUCGAAUCCUUUCAUAUUCUUUUGGUUCUUGUGUUUGAAGAACUUUGGUUUGAUGAUUACUUUC
Molecule: long non-coding RNA, 8998 nt
Filed under: Prunus persica (peach)
Lineage: Eukaryota; Viridiplantae; Streptophyta; Magnoliopsida; Rosales; Rosaceae
Description: long non-coding RNA (PPER_LNC005468)
Source: RNAcentral